Molecule: long non-coding RNA, 504 nt
Organism: Lepidothrix coronata (blue-crowned manakin)
Lineage: Eukaryota; Metazoa; Chordata; Aves; Passeriformes; Pipridae
Exons: 3
Source: RefSeq, a predicted model, not a curated record
CUUCCCGCGGCCCGCGGACCAGGCGCAGAGCGCGGAGCCCGUCGGAGCAGAUCGAUCUAGUGCCUUGGAAGUAGAGAAAAAGUUACUAAAGACAGCUUUCCAGCCAGUGCAGAGGCGGCCCCAGAACCAACUUGACGCCGCUAUGGUUCUAUCGGCGCUCUCAUCAUCAUAGUUAAUUUUUUAUUGUUGUUGUAAUGAUUGUAAAAAAAUCUCUGUAUAAUUACAACUUGUAAGCAUGUCCGUAUAUUAAAACUAAAAAGGAAAAAAAAUACCCGCUUCUGUACUAUCACCUGGGUUAGCUGAGUCGAGUCGUGAGGUUUUUUCGGAAGUCCAGUGAGAAUUAGGUGUUUCCUUUUUUUUUUUUUUUUCUUGUUGUUGUUGUUGUUUGGGUUUUGUUUUUCUUUUUGUACAUACCUUAAAAAAAAUGUACAUACGUGUGAACCAAAUUGUACAAGAAAGUAUAUAUUUUUGGCUAAUAAAUAAACUGUUGCCACUUUGACUACA